This 253-nucleotide ribosomal RNA is filed under the name uncultured bacterium. Its description in RNAcentral is "partial 16S ribosomal RNA". It matches the Rfam family "Bacterial small subunit ribosomal RNA", at positions 524 to 776 of the family's 1533-position model. The record is from RNAcentral.
UACGAAGGGGGCUAGCGUUGCUCGGAUUGACUGGGCGUAAAGGGCGCGUAGGCGGCGGACACAGUCAGACGUGAAAUUCCUGGGCUCAACCUGGGGGCUGCGUUUGAUACAUGUUCGCUUGAGUUCGGAAGAGGGUCGUGGAAUUCCCAGUGUAGAGGUGAAAUUCGUAGAUAUUGGGAAGAACACCGGUGGCGAAGGCGGCGACCUGGUCCGAUACUGACGCUGAGGCGCGAAAGCGUGGGGAGCAAACAGG